Molecule: long non-coding RNA, 1427 nt
Organism: Vigna angularis (adzuki bean)
Lineage: Eukaryota; Viridiplantae; Streptophyta; Magnoliopsida; Fabales; Fabaceae
Exons: 2
Source: RefSeq, a predicted model, not a curated record
UCUUAUGCCCAACAAGCUUCAGAUUAAUUUGUUGAAGUACUUACUUAUUUUUAUUUACAUAACCUUUUAUACUUUUGUUUAACAUGGGUAGAUAUAAUUGAUUACAUGUAUAUUCUUUUUGUGUGUCUAGCCAUUUUUGGUUGUUCAUUAUUUGUUGAAAACUUUUAUCUCCAUUAAAUUAGACUUUAAACAAAAUGUGUCAUAAAUUACAUUUAAUUAAAAGAACAUGUAUUAUUUUUUUUGCGUUUUAAAAUACUUUAUAUAUUUUAGAAAUUCGAUGUUUAACAUAUACAAGCUUAGAAAAGUUGAAAAAGAUAACAAACUAUCAUUUUUUUUAUUAGUAUUAAUAAUAAAUAAUAAUUUUUUUUUAUUAUUUAUGGGUGACCGAUUAUGUGAUACGUUUACGGGUCUAUUGUAAGAACCUCUUUUUUUAGUGGUGGGGACACCCACUUAUUGCAUUAUGAGAAUGCAAUUAUUGGCAGAGGGGGAGAUCAUCAUCAUCUUCAUCCUGACACCUUAUCCCACGGCCAAAAACAACCUAUCACCUUCAUCCUCCUUCACACCAUCUUCAACAUCCUAAACUCACGGCCAACAUCCAUCAUCAAUCAUUAUCCGUUCUCCUCCGCAGGACCUUAGGCCACCAUCCUUGGCAGCCACCACUCCUCAUCCUCAAAACCACCAUCACCCACCUCAUUGCCUUCCUCCAAUCCAAAACAUCUUCAAGAACCGUGAGGAGACCUGUGAGCAGCAAAAGCGUUUCCAACUUUAGCGUCUGCCGAUCGGUGAUGUCUCAGGUCCAGCUGUAGGACGCGGCGGUGUGGCAUCGGAGGCAGCGGUAGCCGCGAACGGGGGGUAGUGUCGGUGCAUGUGGUGGAGACGAACCCCUCCCUGGCCUGCCGGUGUCGGAGAAAGCAGUUGGGUUCAAUGACACAGCGGCGAGGAGACUGGCAGAGAGGGGUGGCGUGGUGGCGGUUUUGUCACGGUGGUUGGUUGGGCAGCGUCUGGCUGCAGCUGACGGUGGCCGCUGAAAAAGUGGUGUGUAUGCGUGACUGGGUGGAGGAACUUCGUUGGUUGCCUUGGAAGAGAGACUCUAGGUUUUGUGUUUGAAUGAGAAGGUGUGAGAGUGAAGUUGUUGCAGAGAAAUAACUCUAGGAAAGGAAGUCUUCAAGAGAUGAAGGAUUGUCGCGGGAUCAUGUGCACACGAAGGAAGAGAUGGAAGAACAACUUAGAGGGAUUCAAUGUUAUAGUUAUAGUUAGACCUGAACUUAAGUUAUAUGUUUAGACUUAAGUAUGAGAUUACGGAGUAUUACCGUAAAUGUAUUAUUGCUAUAUUUAAAUUUUGAAUUCUUUUAAAGGGAGAAUUUUUGGGAUGUUACAUCUAUUAACUUUCUACACUGCAUUUAAUACUUUCUUUGAGUUUGGAUUCA